GAGACUCUUAUUGAGCAUUGUAAUGACCCGAGUAUUGUAAUGACCCGACCUGCUAUUGAGUUGAGACCUUUAUUGGGCAUUUUAAAGACCCUAUCCGAUAGCAAUAAUAACUCGUUGGAAGCAAACCACCGGGCCAAAAUACUUAGGGCGCGUUUGGUUCAAGUUAUAUAAUAUUAUAGAGUAUUUCGAUAUAUCCAAGUAUCUUGAAUUUCUAAAAGAGAUUAUUACUUAUGCUGCAUUAGUGCGUUUGGUUUAAUACAGUAAUGUAAUACUAGAUUGCAGUGAUUAUAGCAUUAAUAUGUUUGGUUCAGUUUAUAAAAUUUAGUAAUGCUGACAUAAAAGUAUAGUUUUUUUCAAAAUUGUCCUUGUUGUGGUCAUUUGAAUAUUAUUUUUUGCGAAAAUGACGAAUGGAGGGAAGGAGNAAGGAACUACAUAGAAUUUGUGAAGGCCUUAAUGAUUCAUUGCUUUUGUGAGACCUUACUUUUCAGAGGGUCACCCAUCUAAAGACUACUUUAGUCCUAACACGCUUAAUUCUUUUAAUCUUUUGGGCCUAGUACAAUGCAAAAUGCUAUAGCUAGGUUAAGAGGUUUAGUCUUAUAUAUUAUAUAUCAUAUAUAGGACUAUUCCAAAUUUUAGGGUCAUAUUCCUUUCCUCUUUAUGCCUUGAUGUUCUUGUCAGGCUCAAUCAUACUCACAAGGACCAU
This 703-nucleotide long non-coding RNA is filed under the name Ananas comosus (pineapple). Its description in RNAcentral is "long non-coding RNA (ACOM_LNC017124)". Lineage: Eukaryota; Viridiplantae; Streptophyta; Magnoliopsida; Poales; Bromeliaceae. The record is from RNAcentral.